CAAAGUGUUUGCAAUUCAAAGCGAAUUUCACAUUUUAGACUACAAUAGCCAAACUGUAAAAAGUCUCCAAGUCAGCUAUUUUGCCCCAAGAUUUGUAAUUCACUAUAAUUUCCCAAUAAUUCACAUUUUAUAGACCUAUUCACUAAACUGAGAAUUCAACGUGAAUUCAAAUAGAAUUUCAAUUUUAAAGCCAAACUAGCUGAACUGAUAACAGAAUUGAAUUGGAGAAGUUACCUAAUUUUGCUAUUGUGAAUUAAAA
Molecule: non-coding RNA, 259 nt
Organism: Pelobates cultripes (western spadefoot toad)
Lineage: Eukaryota; Metazoa; Chordata; Amphibia; Anura; Pelobatidae
Source: the annotation of a GenBank genome assembly